RNAcentral lists this ribosomal RNA (253 nucleotides) under uncultured bacterium. RNAcentral's name for it is "partial 16S ribosomal RNA". It matches the Rfam family "Bacterial small subunit ribosomal RNA", at positions 524 to 776 of the family's 1533-position model. The record is from RNAcentral.
UACGAAGGGUGCAAGCGUUACUCGGAAUUACUGGGCGUAAAGCGCGCGUAGGUGGUUUGUUAAGUUGGGUGUGAAAGCCCCGGGCUCAACCUGGGAACUGCAUCCAAAACUGGCCAACUAGAGUACAGUAGAGGGUGGUGGAAUUUCCUGUGUAGCGGUGAAAUGCGUAGAUAUAGGAAGGAAAACCAGUGGCGAAGGCGACCACCUGGACUGAUACUGACACUGAGGUGCGAAAGCGUGGGGAGCAAACAGG